AUAUAGAGGUUGGGGAGCCAAAUACGGCUGAGAGGAUAUGAGAUAUCGACCCAUGAACCUGAUCUGGGUAAUGCCAGCGUAGGGAGUGAACGGGAUACGUGU
Molecule: non-coding RNA, 102 nt
Filed under: Pontibacillus halophilus
Lineage: Bacteria; Bacillati; Bacillota; Bacilli; Caryophanales; Bacillaceae
Also listed under: 1 other name
Description: TPP sequence
Rfam family: TPP riboswitch aptamer (THI element)
About the family: Vitamin B(1) in its active form thiamin pyrophosphate (TPP) is an essential coenzyme that is synthesised by coupling of pyrimidine and thiazole moieties in bacteria. The previously detected thiamin-regulatory element, thi box was extended, resulting in a new, highly conserved RNA secondary structure, the THI element, which is widely distributed in eubacteria and also occurs in some archaea. Analysis of operon structures identified a large number of new candidate thiamin-regulated genes, mostly transporters, in various prokaryotic organisms.
Source: RNAcentral